Molecule: ribosomal RNA, 80 nt
Filed under: Staphylococcus aureus
Lineage: Bacteria; Bacillati; Bacillota; Bacilli; Caryophanales; Staphylococcaceae
Also listed under: 4 other names
Source: RNAcentral
UCUGGUGACUAUAGCAAGGAGGUCACACCUGUUCCCAUGCCGAACACAGAAGUUAAGCUCCUUAGCGUCGAUGGUAGUCG